RNAcentral lists this ribosomal RNA (253 nucleotides) under uncultured bacterium. RNAcentral's name for it is "partial 16S ribosomal RNA". It matches the Rfam family "Bacterial small subunit ribosomal RNA", at positions 524 to 776 of the family's 1533-position model. The record is from RNAcentral.
GACGUAGGGGGCGAGCGUUGUCCGGAUUCACUGGGCGUAAAGCGCGAGUAGGUGGCCUGUUAAGUGGCGUGUGAAAGCUCACCGCUCAACGGUGAGAGGUCGCGCCAGACUGGCGGGCUUGAGGGUGGCAGAGGAUGAUGGAAUUCCCGGUGUAGCGGUGAAAUGCGUAGAUAUCGGGAGGAACGCCAGUGGCGAAGGCGGUCAUCUGGGCCAUCCCUGACACUGAGUCGCGAAAGCUGGGGGAGCGAACGGG